UACGUAGGGUGCAAGCGUUAAUCGGAAUUACUGGGCGUAAAGCGUGCGCAGGCGGCUUUGUAAGUCUGUCGUGAAAUCCCCGGGCUCAACCUGGGAAUUGCGAUGGAGACUGCAAGGCUGGAAUCUGGCAGAGGGGGGUAGAAUUCCACGUGUAGCAGUGAAAUGCGUAGAGAUGUGGAGGAACACCGAUGGCGAAGGCAGCCCCCUGGGUCAAGAUUGACGCUCAUGCACGAAAGCGUGGGGAGCAAACAGG
This 253-nucleotide ribosomal RNA is filed under the name uncultured bacterium. Its description in RNAcentral is "partial 16S ribosomal RNA". It matches the Rfam family "Bacterial small subunit ribosomal RNA", at positions 524 to 776 of the family's 1533-position model. The record is from RNAcentral.